This 250-nucleotide ribosomal RNA is filed under the name uncultured bacterium. Its description in RNAcentral is "partial 16S ribosomal RNA". It matches the Rfam family "Bacterial small subunit ribosomal RNA", at positions 524 to 773 of the family's 1533-position model. The record is from RNAcentral.
UACAGAGGGGGCAAGCGUUGUUCGGAAUUACUGGGCGUAAAGGGCGCGUAGGCGGCCUUCUAAGUCGAACGUGAAAUCCCUGGGCUCAACCCAGGAACUGCGUCCGAGACUGGGAGGCUAGAAUCCGGGAGAGGGAUGUGGAAUUCCAGGUGUAGCGGUGAAAUGCGUAGAUAUCUGGAGGAACAUCGGUGGCGAAGGCGGCAUCCUGGACCGGUAUUGACGCUGAGGCGCGAAAGCCAGGGGAGCAAAC